UCUUCGUUUUAUUGAUCCUUUUCCUCCCAGAGAUGGUCACUACUUUUCUUUGUCUCUGUCUGUUGUGUUAUUUGCCCUUUCAUCCUGUUCUGUGUCCUGAGAGCUUGGCUUCAUGACAAGUGAGAACACGCUCUGGUCUCCGCCAUCCAGAAUGUGCACUAAGCAAGGUGUACCUUUGUGGCCAGUUAGAUAGACCGGGGUUCUGAGACACAAAAUCACAAGCAGCACUCUCUUCUUCCAGCUGUGCCAGCUCUCAGGGGAGUUUGUCAUAAGGGAUCUCAGUCCAUAAGAGGCCUUUGUCAUCUCAACUUCAUUGCUUCAUUAGUGCCUGAAAAGCCCCAUUCCAGUAGCUGGUGUCACAGAUUAGUACGUUUGUGACUGGAGGUGUCUCGCAUUUAUGCAGGAGACCAGGGACACCACUUUCGCUAUACCAUUCUUACCACCUGUGGCAACAAAGAUCUUUUAUUUCCUUAAGACUGUCCUCUGGAAUAAACUUUUUGGAUCUUGCGAGGACGUCAUCCUUGGCACUCUCUUGUGGGACACCCCUUGCAUCCUUGGGACCUAAAACCCAUUCUUUGAAAUGCAUACCUUAGAGAGAAAUUUCUCAUCAGAAGGAACUUCAAAGAAGAGUGAUUCAUGAAAAGGAUUCUGACACUUCUGAUAAACUUUCGACCACACCACUGACGUGGGUAAGAAUUUGCAGAACUCUAACAGAGAAACUGAUGGCUUCAUACAACUGCUAACAAAAGACCAAGAUCAACAAGAAUUAAUCACGUUGGACUAACUAAACUAAUGAAGGCCUAACUCUGGGAACCCAGCAACAUCACCGUUUCCUGAAAUGAGACACAACUGUCUAACUGAACUGACCUAUUCACCGGACUGAGUGACUGGUUCGAUGAGAUGGAUGAAACUAUCAAAUUAGCUUUUGGAUUGUGAAACUUCUUGGGGAAGUUUCAAAGGCAGGACUCUAGGGGGACAGAAUUUGCCACCCCAAAAUAUGUCUCUUUGGUGCAAGGAUUAUUUUAGACUGAUUAUU
Molecule: non-coding RNA, 1036 nt
Organism: Equus caballus (horse)
Lineage: Eukaryota; Metazoa; Chordata; Mammalia; Perissodactyla; Equidae
Source: RefSeq, a predicted model, not a curated record